UCUUAAUCGCCAGCGAUUUACUUAGUUUCAUCAGAAAAAACGUUCUUUAAACGCAUGCUUGUCGCUGUUUCGCUCAGUUUUACGCUAUCCAAAAGCUUUGAAGUAAACGGUUUUCUAUUGAUGGAUAGAGGAGACUUACUUGUCGUAUGGUUUGUGGCCCCACAUAUGUGCCACGCUAUUCACGCAGAAGGCUACGUUGAGGGUCACGCAGAACCGGAAAUUGAAGUUCACCCAGAAAGAAGUCGACAAUGAUUCUGACCAGAAGUAACAUGGCACGCUGACCGGAAGCGCGAUGGUCAGCAAGAAGAAUAGUGGAAUAUAGAGUCUACGAAUAAGAAUGGCAUCGAUUAGGUAUCGUGAACUAUUCGAUUUAGUUGGAGGUCACCGGUGCACCCCCAUGGCAUUCAACGUGUUAACCAAUCGAUAGCUCGUUGAUAAUUACCUUGCUGGUCAAGAUAAAGGGUUGAAACUUGACACACAAUGUUUUCGAUUUCUUUAUAAGAUACGAGUUUUCUUACCUUUUCUGCCACAUGAUGAUGGGAUCAGCUUCUAAGUCGCUCAUGUCGAUACUUUUUCGUUUUGCAAUAACAUCGGGGUGUGGCGUCGUGAACAGCCAACCGACAUGGGCGAAGAAGAAACCUCUUUUCGCAUUAUGGGGAUCGGCAUUGGUUUCGCUAUACUUAUGGUGCACCCUGUGGUCCAGCGCCCACGCGUACACGUGCCUCUGUAAAGAGAAAAUACAAAUACCAAAUUUUACCACUUCUAGACAAACUAAUUAACGCACUCAGCACAGCUGGGAAGUAGUUCCCAAAGUAGGUGAAUUUUAAUUUUUUAUUGCAACUCUCAAAUGUAAUCCUCACGCUAAUACUAUAAUUACCAAGACAACACUAUAGCCUCCAAAAUUACCGCGCUAUCAGCUGAAACAGUUAGCUCUGUAUUUUUAGUAUUUUUUAUUUGCCACCCGUAUGGAUGAUUGGUUAGUCUGUAUGAUUUUUAUCAUAUAGAUCAGCAACUUAGGGGAGCAAACAAACUGUUCUGAAAAUGAUAAGGCUUGGAGUUUGGCUUGUUGUUGAAGUCCAAUGUACGUGAACUGUACAUGUUGAUUUGAAAAUAUAUUCAAUUUCAGAACAUUAGAAACUUGAGGAUCAAUUCAAUACAUUUAUAAUUACAUAGGAAGAUCAUUUAAAAUCUAAUAAAUUAUUAUUUGUCAUUAAUAAUUUCAUUUUCUAUGAUUUUCCAACUACGGUACAUUGCACAAAGGAUAAGUUUUAGAACGGCACAAGGGCAAAAGAGGUCUUUGGCUACGUGUUUUGUUUAUAAUUUUGAUUAGUUACGUGUUGACGAAUGGAAAACUGACUAAUUAGACCAGCAUUCCUUUCAGAGAUGAUCUGCUCCGAAACGAAGAGUAAGUAACUUAAAAUAGUAACUUGGAAUGAAUACCUGUCCACUUAUCGUGAAAAGAAAGACCAGAAGCAAUCGCAACGGCCAUUUCGCUUUGUACGCUUUGUGAGCCCAGAGUCUGUGAGCACCGGCGGUUAUACCGAAUGCGGAAGUGUAUAUAGUCACGAACGCUGCGGAAGAGCAUAUCAGAUAUAAUUAUAACUUCUGUUUUAAAACGAUACGUUAUUCGUGCCUACAGUUCUGACUUAAAUCGAGUGUAUGCGUAUUUUUAAUUCGAAUGUAUGGAAUCUAUUAGGACACUGAAAUACACUAAACACUCUAACAUCCUUAACUUUUUUCAUGAAACUCUAUCGAUUUAUUUUUAACGGUUUCCUGCCGCUUGACAAACUGUUCUCGAAUUACAACGUAAGUUUAUACACGAGAACAAUAAAAUGCAGAUAACUGUCGAUUCAUAUAAUCGGUUGACAAUUCCCGCGCAUACUUUUCUGUUCGCAUAAAUAUAUUAUACAAGAAAUCUGUAUAUUUCAUUAAAAAAUUCGUUUUAGAAUUCAAAUGAAAAAUUCAAUUCUUAUUGAUUUCAAAGUCGAAUUAUUCUUAUUCGAAAUUUCGACUUUAAUUUGAAAAUAGUACACUGAAUUUCAAUAAUUUCAGUAAUUUCUUAGUGGCAAUUCAUGAUUUUAUCUGCGUAUGUCAGAAUCUUUCUAAUUAUGUGUAUCAAUCAAUUUUAAACGAGUGAUCGUUAAUCACUGUUAUAACGAGAAAGUGAGAGUUAAUUAUCUAGGUAAUAUACUGAGCAUAGUUCUCGUGAUUUGAAUGAUAUAGAGCUAAAUGCGAUGUUAUAGAAUAAUAAUAAUCGUACAGGAAACGGUGAUAUUCUUGUCUCCGGUAUAUAACUUUUCGUCGCGCUAUUUUUACGACACUAAAUUUCCGUUGAAAGAUUAAUAUUUUAUUGCUCUUCCGUUGCAAACUAAUGACACUAGUUGUUAUUGAAACAUGAUUGCAAUAAUAUCAUAUAUCGAAACUAUGUUCUACAGAAUGAACAUUUUUGUAACAAGAAAAAAUGAAAAAAUUGUAUAUAUUUCUCAGUGAGCUUAAUGUCUGUUAGCCAACUAUUAUCAGCCGGUGUCACGCAAACUUAUAUAAUUACGCUGUUCUCAAGCCUAUCAUAUUAUUAUUCAUAAAUUAAAACACUCAUCUGUAAUAUUUUUUCUUUGGUGAUAUUACCUAAAAUUUCAUUUUAGAAUCGAUGCUAAAAUUUAUUAUUGGGACACAACAUUUCUUUACUCGAACGCUUACCCCAUAGACUAGUAAGAAGCUUUGCUUCCGUAAACAUGAGCCAAAGUCCAUAAAUACCACCACCAUGAAUGAAAGUUUGCGCUAUUAAAUCUGGCCACAUGAGUCGAGGAACAUAUUCCGUUCUGCUACUCCGAUAAGUCUCAUCAACCGUCAAAAAGUCCUCAGUCUCUGGCAGUCUUUCGUUUUUCGAAUUUGUUUCUUUACUCUUCGGCUCCGAAAUGUGCUGCAUUAUGGAAGGGACGCGGUCCUUGCUUGUGUGAAAUGACGCCAUAUUUUCUUUCAUUCUCGAGGGAUCGACUCAACUUAAUUCUAUUAAUUUCUUCGCCCUUAAUCUAACAUUCUUCUCAUAUUAGUUCGAUCUAGGAGCUGUUACGGAUGAUUCUGUAACCACAAUAUUAUUUAUAUUUAAUUAUACAUAAAAAUUGUGAAUUAAACAUUAUUGACAUAAUAGUUACAAAUUAUGGAUACAACAAUUAUAAAUUCUUGAUUGAAAUGUGUCGUAUUAUAAAUAUGUCACAGGAGGUGCACUAACAAUGCAGGAGAAAAGCAUGAAUGAAAUUUAUAAUUUAUCGUCACUAAAAUGUUGAUUUUAUGUAUUUAUUGCGUAAAUUUAGACAAUAUAAUAUAUAUAUCCGAUAUAGACACUAUAUAGUGCGUCUAAAUAAAUGAAAACAGAAAUAUCUAUUUGCACAACCACAUUUUGCUUGAUUAAGGAGAAAUUCCACGUUAAGCACAUUGUGGAAACGCUGUCUAAAAACAAUUAAAGCAAUAAUAUUGUUUUUCAAUCACAUUUUCAUAAAUCGAUAGUACACUGAAUAAUAGAUCUGCGCUCGUUGAUUUGCCGGUAAAAACUGUGAGUGA
Non-coding RNA from Nomia melanderi (Alkali bee), 3558 nucleotides. NCBI's taxonomy places the organism in Eukaryota, Metazoa, Arthropoda, Insecta, Hymenoptera, Halictidae. The record is from RefSeq and is a predicted model, not a curated record.